RNAcentral lists this unclassified non-coding RNA (358 nucleotides) under soil metagenome. RNAcentral describes it as "partial contains 5.8S ribosomal RNA, internal transcribed spacer 2, and large subunit ribosomal RNA". The stretch from base 1 to 120 matches the Rfam family "5.8S ribosomal RNA", at positions 35 to 154 of the family's 154-position model. The record is from RNAcentral.
GAUGCAGAACGCAGCGAAAUGCGAUAAGUAAUGUGAAUUGCAGAAUUCAGUGAAUCAUCGAAUCUUUGAACGCACAUUGCGCCCGUCAGUAUUCUGGCGGGCAUGCCUGUUCGAGCGUCAUUACGCCCCUCAAGUCCCCUGUGGACUUGGUGUUGGGGAUCGGCGAGGCUGGUUUUCCAGCACAGCCGUCCCUUAAAUUAAUUGGCGGUCUCGCCGUGGCCCUCCUCUGCGCAGUAGUAAAACACUCGCAACAGGAGCCCGGCGCGGUCCACUGCCGUAAAACCCCCCAACUUUUUAUAGUUGACCUCGAAUCAGGUAGGACUACCCGCUGAACUUAAGCAUAUCAAUAAGCGGAGGA